Non-coding RNA from Pelobates cultripes (western spadefoot toad), 229 nucleotides. NCBI's taxonomy places the organism in Eukaryota, Metazoa, Chordata, Amphibia, Anura, Pelobatidae. The record is from the annotation of a GenBank genome assembly.
AAUUUUUUGAGCAGUAGUUACUAGAGACACAAGCCAUUGGGGUUGGGAAGCCCACCUCCAAGACAGCUUUGCACAAGGGAAAUAGGACUUUCCUUCAAUUAACAUUCCAUCCAACCUUCUGGAACUCAUGGCGGUUCUACAAAAACUGAAACAUUUCUCUCCUCAGCUUCAGUCAUCAAGGAGAUACCAGAAGUCACAGGAUGGUGAACAUUACGAGGCAGCAGAUGUC